This 468-nucleotide ribosomal RNA is filed under the name uncultured bacterium. RNAcentral's name for it is "partial 16S ribosomal RNA". It matches the Rfam family "Bacterial small subunit ribosomal RNA", at positions 28 to 507 of the family's 1533-position model. The record is from RNAcentral.
GACGAACGCUGGCGGCGUGCUUAACACAUGCAAGUCGAACGGAAAGGCCCUGCUUUUGUGGGGUGCUCGAGUGGCGAACGGGUGAGUAACACGUGAGUAACCUGCCCUUGACUUUGGGAUAACUUCAGGAAACUGGGGCUAAUACCGGAUAGGAGCUCCUGCUGCAUGGUGGGGGUUGGAAAGUUUCGGCGGUUGGGGAUGGACUCGCGGCUUAUCAGCUUGUUGGUGGGGUAGUGGCUUACCAAGGCUUUGACGGGUAGCCGGCCUGAGAGGGUGACCGGCCACAUUGGGACUGAGAUACGGCCCAGACGCCUACGGGAGGCAGCAGUGGGGAAUGUUGGACAAUGGGCGGAAGCCUGAUGCAGCAACGCCGCGUGCGGGAUGACGGCCUUCGGGUUAUAAACCGCUUUCGCCUGUGACGAAGCGUGAGUGACGGUAAUGGGUAGAGAAGCACCGGCUAACUACGUG